AUGUUUUGCGAUUCUUUAUUGGUUCUUAUGUUAUGUGAGAUUUUUUGGUUGGUAUGUGUAGAAGUUUAUGCCGUGUUUGAUUUCGCAAGUUCUGUUGAUCCUACCAAAGUACUAGGUAUUGGGAAUUCAAGUGCAAGUUUGGAUUUUUGUCUGUUAAAGACUUGA
Molecule: non-coding RNA, 165 nt
Organism: Vicia faba (fava bean)
Lineage: Eukaryota; Viridiplantae; Streptophyta; Magnoliopsida; Fabales; Fabaceae
Source: the annotation of a GenBank genome assembly